CAUGACUCUGUACCAUGAGCUUCUUAUCACAGCAUCAUGUUUCUUACCAAAACCUAAGCAAGCUGCUUUGAAAUUUCAAAUGAUCUGGAUUGCUUUACUGUUGAUGAACAUUUAUUAAAUGGGUCUAUCAUUGCUGAAUCAUUUCCUAAUCAUUUUAAAGACCUGUCCUGGAUAGAACCAUGUCAUUUGGUACUAAUGAUAUGGAAACCAUGAAUUUAAAAAAAACAACCAAUUUUCUAUUAAGUAUUAAGUAUUACUACUUUAGUAUUAGAAACUUUAUUCUCCAUUUGUUUAAUCAUAUGCUUGCCUGUUGACAGAUUUCACAUUUAUGCAUGCUCAGAUGACUAAAAAGCUAUUGAGGUUACACUAAAAUUGUUAUUUGGUAGAUAUCUAGUUAACUUUUUUCAAACAGUGUCUAAUAUUUGACACAUAAUUAGAACCAAAUUGCAUACUUUUUAGGUAAAAAGCACAUUUUAUUUUUCCAUUUCAUUGGAAGUUUAAUCUCUGUUGGUGUUUGUGUGAUAUGUGGGUCAUUCAACCCAAAGGAGUUUUAUUUGCUAAUUUGAAAUGAAUUAAAAAGAUUAUCUUUGAAUUUAAAGUACAACAGUUGUCUUCAGAUUUAGGUAUUUACUGUUUAAUGAAUGGCUGCUUGCCUUAUGUCCACAGUGAAUGCAUCUUGUUUUCAACUCUGGACUGCUGAAUCUCCUGUCUGUACAACACCUUUACCCUUGGGUCUGCUAUCAUGGCCUUCGCUGCGGUCGGAGCUGUUGGUUCGGUUGCUCCGCUGAUUCCAACACAUCGCCAGUGCAAAGUUGAGAUUACGAAUGGAUGCAGUACCUACACUCUGUCUAACGUCAGUGUCCACGCUACAAGUGGAAGUUGAUGUUUGCCACCGACUAUUGCCUCUGGCGCAUCUGGGAAUGGAUUGUUCACCAAGACGGAAGGAGCAGCUCGAGGAGCUGUUGGCGUCUUCACUUUUGAUCUCCUCAACACACGCACAAAGAACAUCAGUGAGAAAAUAGCUGUCAUGUACUCUGUGCCCUAUGAUUUCAACCUGUACUCCAACUGGUACGCACUGGGAAUAUUUCCCAACUACAAAAAGUGUGAUUAUGAUCUUUAUUGUAAGAUGUAUUAUGAGAAUGACAAAACCUUUGUCAGAGGUAAAGCAAAUGGCCCCAGUCUAAUUUAUAAGGGUCAUCACGUAACCAUCAGGGCAACAAUGUCAGACUCCUUCCAACCCAUCAUGAUGGUGCAAGUGAGCGAAAACUGAAAAGAGUUAAUAAUGGCUCAUCAGGGCUGGAAGUAAAGUUUACUCUCAAAGUAAAAAACAAAACAAAAGUCAUGAUAAACCAUAUUCAAUAGUACAUCUUAACUGAUCUACUUUUAAGUACAUUUUGGAAAAACUAAUUAAGAGUGUGUUUUCUUGAGUGAAAUAUUUUUUCCAUUGUGGUGUCUAAAGGGGUUAUAAAUUCAAAUUAUAUUUUGUCAACAUAUGUAGUGUCAGUAGUUCUUCUUCUUGAAGAACAACCACCUAUAAAAACCUAUGUCUGAAGCAUAUCGACAGAGCUGUUCAUUUGGCAGGAUGCAAUCCAAGCUCCUGGGGCUUGAAAUGAUGCUGGACUUUUUUGUAAUAAACCUUUAUAUACAAUCAA
Molecule: long non-coding RNA, 1652 nt
Organism: Dicentrarchus labrax (European seabass)
Lineage: Eukaryota; Metazoa; Chordata; Actinopteri; Moronidae
Exons: 3
Source: RefSeq, a predicted model, not a curated record